GACGAACGCUGGCGGCGUGCUUAACACAUGCGAGUCGAACGGAAAGGCCCUGCUUUUGUGGGGUGCUCGAGUGGCGAACGGGUGAGUAACACGUGAGUAACCUGCCCUUGACUUUGGGAUAACUUCAGGAAACUGGGGCUAAUACCGGAUAGGAGCUCCUGCUGCAUGGUGGGGGUUGGAAAGUUUCGGCGGUUGGGGAUGGACUCGCGGCUUAUCAGCUUGUUGGUGGGGUAGUGGCUUACCAAGGCUUUGACGGGUAGCCGGCCUGAGAGGGUGACCGGCCACAUUGGGACUGGGAUACGGCCCAGACUCCUACGGGAGGCAGCAGUGGGGAAUAUUGCACAAUGGGCGGAAGCCUGAUGCAGCAACGCCGCGUGCGGGAUGACGGCCUUCGGGUUGUAAACCGCUUUCGCCUGUGACGAAGCGUGAGUGACGGUAAUGGGUAAAGAAGCACCGGCUAACUACGUG
Molecule: ribosomal RNA, 468 nt
Filed under: uncultured bacterium
Lineage: Bacteria
Description: partial 16S ribosomal RNA
Rfam family: Bacterial small subunit ribosomal RNA
Source: RNAcentral